AUGUAAGUUUUUGCGUGGAUUUGUGUCUAUUUAAAUAAUAGAUAUUUUUUAUUAUACCCUCAGUAAUUAAUUUUAUUAAUUAAGGUAACUUAUAAAUAGUAAUAUUAGACAGUAUUGGCUAAAUUUGUGCCAGCAGCCGCGGUUACACGAAUAAUACAAAUAAAUUUUGUUCGGUUGUAAGUUAGAUUGAUUUUUAAAAAUUAAUGUGUAUUUAUUAGGUGAAAUUUUAAAUAGGCAUAGUUUUGUUAAUAAUUGUAUUGAAGCUUGUAAAUUUUAUUAUAAAACUAGGAUUAGAUACCCUAUUAUUUAAAAUGUAAUUUUCAUACUUAGGUAGUAAUAGUUAUGUUCUUGAAACUUAAAAAAUUUGGCGGUAUUUUAAUCUAUUCAGAGGAACCUGUCCUUUAAUCGAUAGUCCACGUUGUACCUUACUUGAGUUUGUUUUCAGUUUAUAUACCGUCGUUAUCAGAGUAUUUUAUUAGAAUAAUAAUUUUCUAGAGUUUUUAUAAAAUUAUAUAUCAGAUCAAGGUGUAGCUUAUACUUUAGUAGAGAUGGGUUACAAUAAAUUUAUUUACACGGAAGUAGGAAUGAAAUUACUAGUGAAGGUGGAUUUGAUUGUAAAUUUGUAAAGAUUAGACGAAUUGAUUUUAGCUCUAAAAUAUGCACACAUCGCCCGUCGCUCUUAUUAUUAAGGUAAGAUAAGUCGUAACAUAGUAGAUGUACUGGAAAGUGUAUCUAGAAUG
RNAcentral lists this non-coding RNA (740 nucleotides) under Pterogenia sp. A HYH-2016. The record is from RNAcentral. Lineage: Eukaryota; Metazoa; Arthropoda; Insecta; Diptera; Platystomatidae.